Molecule: long non-coding RNA, 1879 nt
Filed under: Homo sapiens (human)
Lineage: Eukaryota; Metazoa; Chordata; Mammalia; Primates; Hominidae
Description: HSALNT0214454
Source: RNAcentral
AAAAGUUACAGUUGUUUGGUAAAAACCAGUGCCACAGUUUGAAUGUGUUUCUCUAAAACUCAUGUAAAACUUACUCUCCAAUGUAAUUGUCUUAAGAGGUGAGGCCUUUAGGAGAUGAUUAGGUCAUAAGGACUCCCCUCCCACUUAUGAAUUGGUGCCUUUUAAAAAAGGGCUUGCGGGAAUGAGCUUGUCUCUUAUUGCCCUUCUGUCAUGUGAGGACACAGCAAGGAGAUGCUAUCUCGGAAGCAGAGAACAAGCCUUGGUUUUGGACUUCCCAACCUCCAGAACUAUGAGAAGUAAAUUUCCAUUAUUUAUAAACUAACCAGCAAAAACGGACUAAGACAAGCAGGAUCCAAUCAAAGAUUGCAUUUGCUUGUUCUGUUUAGUGUGUUUUAUUCUAGAAAAGCGUCUUCAUAUUUUUCUAAUGCCAUUGAUUUUUUUUUUCACAGAAUCCAAGCUCAUUUGCUUUCUGAUGUGUUUAAUGGCCUGACGUAGCUAAAGAUAAGUUGAGUCAAAGGGGGAAAAUUAUUUCCUGGUCAUAGUAGAUCAUUAAAAUAAGUUAACAUUUUCUAUAAACUUGGCAUCUGUGCCAGUAUCCAUAGAAUGGAAGACAGUUGUAGCUCCACUCACUCUCCUCCUUAGUCUUUGCUUUAUUCAAAGAAGUUAUCUUUGUUUUUUAUCCAAAAGGUCUUGUUUCAGGAAUGGAUGAGUGUUUUCACACAUAUACACCAAGUUGACAGGCACAUAUGGUAUUUUACUGAAUUUAAAAAUAAGAACUCAGCAAGGUCACACACCAUAAUGAAUGAGCUCUGAUUUUCAUGUCGUUCUAGGAAGGUUUUAAUUUGAACCAAACUUAAAGACGUGUAGAAAGCAUGUGUGCUUUCAAUAACCUAUUGAUUUAUGAGCAAGUCUUAUUCUCAGGGUCUUUCAACUUGGCAGAGUUGAAAAUUCUUUAGAGGGACCUACUGUCUGGGCAUAUGGACAGAUGCUUCUCCCAGAGAGCCUAUGAAAGGCUUGGAAUAGCCUGGAGAGUAGAAAAAAUUGUGUUCAGUAGGAAGUGAGACACAGUCUCACAUUGCUUCUCAGCCUUUUAGCGAAGAUCAAGUGUGAGACAGAGUCUCCACCUCCUAUGGGAAUGUGUGAAAUAAAUUCAUUUCAUUUUUGCUGCUCUUAAAGCUAAUAUUUGUUUGCUUGAAUAUCAUUGGAACAAAUGUAAUAUAAGAACUUUCCUCUUCUACAAUUAAGUCAGCUAAAUGUUUGCUGAAUCAUGAAACCAGAUUUCAAAGAGGUCAUUUCAAGAUUACUGGUUCAGUCUUCUACUUCUAAAUAAGAGUCCAAUAUAUAUGACUAUUCAAGGUUUCUAAAUAUAUUUAGUGAAAGAUUCCAAACCCUUUGUUGAUGGGCUUUUCCAAAAUUUAAGAAACUUCGGUGGAGUAAAAAUAUUCUCUUAUUUCCAGUCUAAAUCUCUUUCUUCUUUAAAUUUUUCAGUACUUAAGUGAAGAUGAGGAGAAACCAGUCUUUUUCUGUAACUGUUAUGUAUUGGAGAUUAAAUUGUUCAAUGUCCUCUUCUUCAUAUCAAAUAACCCUUUUUUACCCCUUUACUGACAUGUAUAGGCUAAUAUGGCCAACUCAUACUUUUCUUAAAAGCAUUCUUUUUCACUACAAGUUUCAGAAAAAAAAAUCAAAGUCUUUCUAAGCCUUACCGAGUUUCUGCAUCUAUAAAAUAGGGGUUCAUAAUAAGAACAAGUAUUUGGCCAGCUUAUGCACAUUUUAGCCCACCGUUCUUUUCAGUAGGGAGCACUGCAAAACCAACCAAGUGAAUCAUGCCAAGCUUUAUUCAGUUUCCUCACCUGUAAAAUGGAGCACUAAAUAUCUGGCU